Molecule: long non-coding RNA, 4366 nt
Filed under: Xyrichtys novacula (pearly razorfish)
Lineage: Eukaryota; Metazoa; Chordata; Actinopteri; Labriformes; Labridae
Source: RNAcentral
GAGUUGGAAUUAGGGCCCGGCGAUAUUGCCUCAAAUCAAAAUUCUGAUAUACUGAGCAGUUCACCUUGAUAACGAUAAAUGGACGAUAACUACUCCAUAAGCUGCUCAGCCCUCCCACAUUAACUUCGUCUACCUCAGCCGCCGCUCCAACUUUUGAACCAUCCUCCAUCUCCUCACCUGUCUUUCCCUCUUUGUUGCAGACUGGAUGGGGUUGAGUCACAUCUUCUACGUAGGACAGUGUCUUAGAGGGACAUGAGACCAUAGCCUACCUACAUUAAUCCAGAACCAACUUUUAUUUAUUUAUUUAUUUAUUCAUUUUGACACCGAAUAUAUUGACAUGUGCAAAAUGACAUGGGCUAUUGUCGUAAAUUUCGGUAUCGGUAAAUUUUCGGUUUAUCGCCCAGCCCUAGUUGGAGUAAAGAUUUUCUUUUUAAUACUUCAUUUCAUUGUUCAAGACAAUGUUUCACAACCUAAUAAUGAACCACAAAUUAGCUUACAAAAGGUUAUCAGUCCUUACCUUUCACAGUCCUGGUGUCAUGAUAUGCGCUUUGGGGUCCCAAUACAUGGCCUAAAUAUGCACACUGUUAAGCACUUCAAAAGCAGAGAAGCUUUCACAAGCCAGCAUAAAUGUUAAAUUCUGUUCUAAAUUCAUUUACUUUCACCCAGCUAAGAUCUGGUUAAAAAGUUUCUUUGUCUAAAACAACACUUUUAACAGGGAACAUACUCAUUUUUGCUUCAAUAUCAGCCAUGAGUACAACAAAUUAUGCUUAAAGAAAAUUAUCAAAAGAAAUAAAAGUCCCCUUGCUCACUAACCUACAUGUCAUUGCCAGACUUUAUAACCCUGAACAAAUCCACAUCUCUGCAGAACUAAAUAUUAAAUAGAAUUUUUCACAGAAAAUCUAACCCAAUCACACGGCACUAAAUUUCAGGAUAAAUGAAUAACUGAUCCUGUUGCCAAGAGACUCUAUUCAACACAGCUCCUACUGUUCCUUUAAAAAGAUUAGAAUUCAAACUGUGAUUGAAGUUGUAAUUGUUCAGUAGGUGUUAAUCAUGUACUAUUAAUAUAAUUUACCUAUAUUUUACUCCUGUUCUCUGAAUAGAGCUGCACCUGUUUUAGUUACCUAAGUUUGUGUCUUGAGUUGUACAGUUUCUUUGGACUUUGUUCCAGGAAACUUGCCAAGUUAUGUGAUGUUGGCACAAGCCAGCUAAGAACACACACAUCUGCAACAGUAAGCCUCAUUACACCUCAGGAUAUUCGCAGAUGUCCCUCAGUUCUCAUUGUCUCUCAUCACACCUUGUGAUCGCAUAAGCAGACGCCCAAACAUUCAGCCAUUUAUUAUGUUUUUCAAAAUACCCAUGUGGAAAAAUGUUUUUUCCAUCAUGCAUCCUCUUAUCAUAUUUAGCUCUAAUAGUCACUCAAUCAUCUGUAAUAAUUCCAUUGUUAAAGUUUUCAAAAAAGCUCUGUUUGCAAAGUACAAAUAUGUGCUGCAUGAGGCAUCACGAUUAUGCAUCAUGAAUUAUGCACAAAAGCAAAAGAUCUGUAUGCAAACAGCACACACUCACAGCAGCACAGUAAUUGGUUUUAUGUAAUAAAACUUUUCCCCCCUUAAGUAUUUCUGCUUCUUGUGUACGCAGUGACCCACAGUUAUCAGCUGACAACCAGACUGGAUCAGGAAUUUAAGAUGAAUAACACAAAUCAGCUUACUCACAAUAACACAAAAGGUCUGGUGAAUACAGAGAGGCGCUGUCAGCAGUUUGCGAGCGGCAGCAGCAGGAAACGAGCUCCUCUGACAGUGUAAAUCAUAGAUCAGUUCAUUAACAAAAUGGCACUGAUGGAUUUACACUGGGGUCAGAACAUUACCGAGCGCCUGGAGGAUCCUGACUCUCUUACAACCUUGGACAACGUUCUUCCUCUCCAUCUUUUCUCACUGAACAUUUAAAAUCCCUGUUCUGCACCUCGAGCAUAAGAGGAGAUUUACACCUAAAAAAAAAAAAGGCCAUGUGUGAGCGAAGCUUUUCUUUUUAAAGUUUAACACAUGAGCUCAUAGAAAGGCCUGAGGAAAGCUAUUCAUGAAUUUGAUGUCGGCAAACAACUUGUUUUUAAGUUGUUACAUGAUCUCCAUUGAGUCUCCACAGAAGCUUGUACCAGUUCGACACUAACAAUGUUUACAUGAAAAUAAAUACUUGAUCCAAUUAAAAAUUUAAGGGAUAAUCUGAAUCCACAGUUUAUAUGAUGCAAAAUCAAAUAAUCUAAUCAUGACGUGCAUAUACAUGCACCAAGCUUUAUUCAGAUUAGAAGCAUUUGGACAUGAGCAGAGUCGUCUGAUUUCUCUAAAACAACCGCAGAAGAAGAAGAGUUGUAUUUACGCCUGUGCUGUCAACAAACCAACAAACGCGCUAGUGGCUCAUUCCAUCCAAUUCAGGUGUUUUCCCCUUGUUAAAUGUUGUCAAUAGAUGGCGCCCUUGCUUACAUAUUUUACUGUUCUGUCAAAGGUUGCAAUGUGCGUGCAGAUGUGACAUCAUUACUGUCUUUGUACGCCUUGUUAUGUUACCGGAAGAGCAGACACAGCAGCUGCGGUUGUGUUUCAUGCCAGAGUGUUAAUAAUAAAACCUCCUGUACUGACCUUAAUGAAUAAACCAAAGGCUAAAGAGUGAAGAUCGAGUCAGGUAAGAGAGUCCUGAUCGGAAUAAGUGUGAUUGGCAUAAACCACCCCUCUUGAUCGGAAUACAAUUUUUUUUCCAGUUGAGCCGAAUUUGAUCAGAAUCUUCCGAUCGACAUGUUUACAUGAUACAUUUUUAUUCUGAUCAUCUGUACCCAUGUAAACUCAGCUACUGUAUAGAAACAGCUUGUCGAGCAACAACCAGCAGGUGUAUAAACAGCAAACAUUAAUGCUUUCAUUAGAGCGGUGAGUGCACAGACUGAGCAUCAUAGAAAAUAACAAAAUAACAAAAAGAUUAAAAAACGUGAAUAUUUGAAGCUUCUUCUGCACAGAACAGCUAAAUAAAUCCAUGUGCACUGUGGUGGACUAGCAUCCUUUUCAAUCUGCUUUUUGCCCAAAGCCUUCUUAUAAAUGGAUCUGCUGAUAGCUGAAUCAGGAGAUAACUACUUAAUGAUCCGAAAAAGGAAGAAAAAAAAAAAGCUAGAGUAGACGAUUUCAGCUAAUCAAUCACAAUAUACUGCUCGGACCUUAAAAAUAGGUAAGUAUGAUGCAGUUUUGAUAAAAAUGAAAUCGUCCUGGACUGAUUUGUGCCCGGGUAAAAAAGGGGAAGAAAAGGCUUUAUGCGUGUGUGAGGAAGGGGUAAAAUAGGCUGUGAGUCACAGAAUACUUCCUCCUGCCUGCACAAAGCUUUCCUUUUCUUCUCUUGUCUGCCAUGAAUUACCUUUGCCUGAAGCCCUCUCUUUUGAAAGUCAAAAAGGGCGUUAAGAAACUCCUCACAGAAUCACAUUUCUGCUGUGAAAUAAAACUAUAAACUCCUUUGAUCCGAGUGUAAUUCACUGACUUUUUAUUUUGCUGGUUUGGAUACAGUGGGAGAUGUCUGACAGGGAUUAAUGACUCCCAUAAUUACUGCACUUUGAUGACGUUACAUUUAUUCACGACUCAGUGCUUACACAACCGCUGUGCUAUAAUAAUUUAGUUAUUUAUAACAGCCUGUCACCUGUGUCUGAACCCAACAUGUAAUAUCAUUCAGCCGCCCAGGGGGGAUGUGUGUGUAUGUGUCAUUGUCUGUAUCAGAGCUGUCCACUGAAGGCUGUCUGUAGCUGAGGGGCUGUUGUGGCUGUGUUGCGGCUCUCUCUGAGCCCUUUUUUGGGGGGAAGGAGAAGGAGCAUUUGGCUUCUUCCUGCUGAGAGCUACUUAGUCCAUAGUAGGUCAAGUAGAGGUGACACACGAGUCUCUUCGGCCCUGGUGUAUAGUCUGCUGUACUGCUGUGUGCGAAGUGAAUCCUGAGCUCCACUCUCACUCCACCAGACUAGAAUGAGUGUCACUCCCCUGAGAGGAGCUGUCACGGGCAGGAAAUGUGCUUGGAGAGGGGGAGAGAGGCACCGUUUCUGCAAUCAUUGACCAACGACUGACACGCCGAGCUGUGAGGAAAUGAACAGUAGCCAGAACUGGAGCGGCGAAAAAGGCAAUGCUUUUCUUAAUUAGAAAGGUUUAGCUGAGAGGGUUUUUAUCAAAUGUCAUGGCAGGUGUUUAUUAGACAUGAAAUAGAUUCUGUUCAGACUUCCAUGCUCCCCCCUUCAGGACCUGGAAGAGCCACAGAAUUACAAUUACACACCUGGAGAAUUCUGCAGCAGCAUCAGUAAACAUGAUUAAAAAACAUUAAAUAUCAGGAAUUCUCCCAUGAAUCUCAAUUUGUGAAGCCCAAC